Molecule: ribosomal RNA, 407 nt
Filed under: Verrucomicrobiota bacterium
Lineage: Bacteria; Pseudomonadati; Verrucomicrobiota
Description: Verrucomicrobia bacterium partial 16S ribosomal RNA
Rfam family: Bacterial small subunit ribosomal RNA
Source: RNAcentral
UGGGGAAUAUUGGACAAUGGAGGCAACUCUGAUCCAGCAAUUCUGUGUGUGUGAAGAAGGUUUUAGGACUGUAAAACACUUUUAGUAGGGAAGAAAGAAAUGACGGUACCUACAGAAGAAGCGACGGCUAAAUACGUGCCAGCAGCCGCGGUAAUACGUAUGUCGCGAGCGUUAUCCGGAAUUAUUGGGGUUAAAGGGCAUCUAGGCGGUUAAACAAGUUGAAGGUGAAAACCUGUGGCUCAACCAUAGGCUUGCCUACAAAACUGUAUAACUAGAGUACUGGAAAGGUGGGUGGAACUACACGAGUAGAGGUGAAAUUCGUAGAUAUGUGUAGGAAUGCCGAUGAUGAAGAUAACUCACUGGACAGCAACUGACACUGAAGUGCGAAAGCUAGGGGAGCAAACAGG